CCUAGGGCUGGGCACCUAAAACCGAAGUCCCGGUCCCGUUUCGAAACCGUCCCGAAAUUUGCCGGUACGGGCCGGGAUCAAAAUAUGAAAUUUACUAUUUGGGCCCGUCCCGUGGAAACGGGCCCGGUACCGGUACUAGCCUAGUCGAAACCGAUUGAUCCCGUCCCGUCCCGUUUGAAUUAAUUAAAUUAAAUCUUUAAUUUUUUAUAUUACUUGGUUGGUUUUGAUUGGGUAAUUUAAUGUGGGAACACAAAGGAAUGACCACACCUGAUCAAAACCUUUUGACCUAAACGACCUAAGUCCCUAAGCCGCUAAACGAAGUCUGAUCCCCAAUUCACUUCUCUUCUCUUCUCUUCUCAGUCUUCUGAUCUAAAUCUCUGAUCUUGGUGGAGACGACGAUGUCGGAGCGCUUCCAGCCCAGAUCGCGUAUGGCCUAGCCCAUGAUCUCCUCGGCGUGGCCGCUCGCGUAGACCUCGGCGUGGCCGCUCGCGUAGACCUCCGCGUUGUCGAAGAAGUUGACGCCGUGGUCGCGGCAGCACUGGAGCAGCGACUUUGCCUCCUUCACGUCCAGCGACUUCAACUUCGCC
This 587-nucleotide long non-coding RNA is filed under the name Rosa chinensis. RNAcentral describes it as "sRNA RchiOBHm_Chr1g0380341". Lineage: Eukaryota; Viridiplantae; Streptophyta; Magnoliopsida; Rosales; Rosaceae. The record is from RNAcentral.